GUCAGCCGUGGUAGGCAAUCUGCCUAGGAGAGCAAACUCCGAACAAUAAACCCGGCCAGGUGGAGGUCGUCAGCCGUGAUAGGCAGUUCACCUAGGAGAGCAAACUCCGAACAAUAAACCCGGGCAGGUGGAGGUCGUCAGCCGUGGUAGGCAAUCUGCCUAGGAGAGCAAACUCUAAACAAACCCGGGUUUGUGGUGCUCGUUAUACUGUCGUAGACAAUCCACGCGAUGAGAACACCAAAGAAAAGGAAAAUAAAAAGGAACACCAGAAAAAUGGAAAAUACAGAAACGAAACAUCAAGAAACAAAAAGAUCAUCCACCUUUAGGCCCUAACAUCGCCAAAAUUAUGGAUGGGUCUCUUCUGGGGAGAAAGCGGCUCAUCCAGACCAAAGAACAUCAACCAAAGGAUGAUAUGAAUAAAUGAAAUAAAAAAAAAAGCAUAAAGAAAAACACAUCAAGGAAAGAAAAAUAUAACAAACAUCAUCCACCUUCCGGCCCUGACUAACAUCACCAAAAUUAUGGGUGGGUCUCUUCUGGGGAGAAAGCGGCUCACCAAGGGAUGAUAUAGAAAAGAACAUCAAAAAAAAUGGAAAAAGAUCAGAAAAAACAUCGAAAAAGAAAAGCAACAGAAAUAAAUGAACAACAUCAAGAAAAGAGAAAUACAAAGAAGCAUCAUCCACCUUUCGGUCCCAAACAACAUCACCAAAAUUAUGGAUGGGUCUCUUCUGGGAGGAAAGCGGCUCAUCCAGACCAAGGAACAUCAACAAGAGGAUGAUAGGAAAAAAGAACACCAAAAA
Eriocheir sinensis (Chinese mitten crab) is the source of this 797-nucleotide long non-coding RNA. RefSeq lists it as uncharacterized. Lineage: Eukaryota; Metazoa; Arthropoda; Malacostraca; Decapoda; Varunidae. The record is from RefSeq and is a predicted model, not a curated record. The transcript has 2 exons.